UUUACUAAUCAAUUCAAUCAUUUUCUUUUCAAUCUCUUUUGUUUCUUGUAGGUUGGUCCAAUAAGUUGGCCUAUUAGGCAACGAAGUUCCCGGAAUGAGAUCAAUGUGAUGCUCAAUUCCUCUAAAAGGUGGAAAACCGUCAGAGAGACACUUUCUGGAAACACAUUGUCGUAAUCCAUUAAAAGAGACUCAAUACUAGGAGGCAAUUCAAAUUUAUCAAAUUGGUUAACAUACAAAAUCUCACUUUGAUAAAACAGGGGUUACCUUGUGUAAAGCACCCUCCUUACCUCCCCUUCUUUUGCUAAAUAAAGUUGCAUGCCCUCAAAAAUUUAAUUUUCUCUCAUUUUUCUCUCAAUUGCUUCACUCUUUCUCUUUUUCCUUUCAAGUGUUUCACUCUUGCUCUCCACCACUAUCAUUAGAUUGACUUAUGUACUCCCCAUUAUCCUUAAGAAGAACAAUCUUCUUUGUAUGACACUCGUACGAAUAACGUCCCAUGCC
Molecule: long non-coding RNA, 498 nt
Filed under: Vigna radiata
Lineage: Eukaryota; Viridiplantae; Streptophyta; Magnoliopsida; Fabales; Fabaceae
Description: long non-coding RNA (VRAD_LNC011171)
Source: RNAcentral